This 451-nucleotide transfer-messenger RNA is filed under the name Candidatus Nomurabacteria bacterium RBG_16_40_11. It matches the Rfam family "transfer-messenger RNA". From Rfam's summary of the family: Bacterial tmRNA, also known as 10Sa RNA or SsrA, is named for its dual tRNA and mRNA-like properties. Its role is to liberate the mRNA from a stalled ribosome. Lineage: Bacteria; Candidatus Nomuraibacteriota. The record is from RNAcentral. RNAcentral also lists the same sequence under 8 other names.
GGGGAUGCAAGGCAUAGACAGUAGGCCUUUUGUCAUUGAUGCAUACCGAGCAUGAACGUAACCUCGUAAAACUUCGUUCAAUAGCUUAAUUGCAAAAUUAGCUUCCAAAGUGAGAGCAAUUGUUUCUCCGUACUUUACGCCGAACCAGUUUGCUUUCGCUUCAGUUUCGGCUUACGCCUAACUGAUGUCUCUCUUAUAGACUUCCGAUAUAUAAGGGGCUAAAUUCGCCUUUGGCGGAUCGCUUGAACAUUUGUAAACAAAUGUUUUAGGGGCACAAUAUUAUCGGGAUAAGGAAAUACCUGUUCGAGUAUUUCACGAAAACCUAGAACUCGAUUAAAAAAUAUUUGGCUCGUUUAAGAAUUUUUUAAUUUAAACCAAAAAGCGAGCUAUGUAUGUAGAUUUCUUUGCAAAAACCUUCUGCACACGAGUUCAAUUCUCGUCAUCUCCACCA